AAUCCAUAGGUUAAUGAGGCGAACCGGGGGAACUGAAACAUCUAAGUACCCCGAGGAAAAGAAAUCAACCGAGAUUCCCCCAGUAGCGGCGAGCGAACGGGGAGGAGCCCAGAGCCUGAAUCAGCAUGUGUGUUAGUGGAAGCGUCUGGAAAGGCGCGCGAUACAGGGUGACAGCCCCGUACACAAAAGCGCAUGUGCUGUGAGCUCGAUGAGUAGGGCGGGACACGUGGUAUCCUGUCUGAAUAUGGGGGGACCAUCCUCCAAGGCUAAAUACUCCUGACUGACCGAUAGUGAACCAGUACCGUGAGGGAAAGGCGAAAAGAACCCCGGCGAGGGGAGUGAAAAAGAACCUGAAACCGUGUACGUACAAGCAGUGGGAGCACCCUUUGGGUGUGACUGCGUACCUUUUGUAUAAUGGGUCAGCGACUUAUAUUCUGUAGCAAGGUUAACCGAAUAGGGGAGCCGGAGGGAAACCGAGUCUUAACCGGGCGUUAAGUUGCAGGGUAUAGACCCGAAACCCGGUGAUCUAGCCAUGGGCAGGUUGAAGGUUGGGUAACACUAACUGGAGGACCGAACCGACUAAUGUUGAAAAAUUAGCGGAUGACCUGUGGCUGGGGGUGAAAGGCCAAUCAAACCGGGAGAUAGCUGGUUCUCCCCGAAAGCUAUUUAGGUAGCGCCUCGUGAAUUCAUCUCCGGGGGUAGAGCACUGUUUCGGCUAGGGGGCCAUCCCGGCUUACCAACCCGAUGCAAACUGCGAAUACCGGAGAAUGUUAUCACGGGAGACACACGGCGGGUGCUAACGUCCGUCGUGAAGAGGGAAACAACCCAGACCGCCAGCUAAGGUCCCAAAGUCAUGGUUAAGUGGGAAACGAUGUGGGAAGGCCCAGACAGCCAGGAUGUUGGCUUAGAAGCAGCCAUCAUUUAAAGAAAGCGUAAUAGCUCACUGGUCGAGUCGGCCUGCGCGGAAGAUGUAACGGGGCUAAACCAUGCACCGAAGCUGCGGCAGCGACACUGUGUGUUGUUGGGUAGGGGAGCGUUCUGUAAGCCUGUGAAGGUGUGUCGUGAGGCAUGCUGGAGGUAUCAGAAGUGCGAAUGCUGACAUAAGUAACGAUAAAGCGGGUGAAAAGCCCGCUCGCCGGAAGACCAAGGGUUCCUGUCCAACGUUAAUCGGGGCAGGGUGAGUCGACCCCUAAGGCGAGGCCGAAAGGCGUAGUCGAUGGGAAACGGGUUAAUAUUCCCGUACUUGGUGUUACUGCGAAGGGGGGACGGAGAAGGCUAUGUUGGCCGGGCGACGGUUGUCCCGGUUUAAGCGUGUAGGUGUGUGUUCCAGGUAAAUCCGGUUCACUUUAACACUGAGGCGUGACGACGAGGCACUACGGUGCUGAAGCAACAAAUGCCCUGCUUCCAGGAAAAGCCUCUAAGCAUCAGGUAACAUCAAAUCGUACCCCAAACCGACACAGGUGGUCAGGUAGAGAAUACCAAGGCGCUUGAGAGAACUCGGGUGAAGGAACUAGGCAAAAUGGUGCCGUAACUUCGGGAGAAGGCACGCUGACACGUAGGUGAAGUGAUUUACUCAUGGAGCUGAAGUCAGUCGAAGAUACCAGCUGGCUGCAACUGUUUAUUAAAAACACAGCACUGUGCAAACACGAAAGUGGACGUAUACGGUGUGACGCCUGCCCGGUGCCGGAAGGUUAAUUGAUGGGGUCAGCGCAAGCGAAGCUCCUGAUCGAAGCCCCGGUAAACGGCGGCCGUAACUAUAACGGUCCUAAGGUAGCGAAAUUCCUUGUCGGGUAAGUUCCGACCUGCACGAAUGGCGUAAUGAUGGCCAGGCUGUCUCCACCCGAGACUCAGUGAAAUUGAACUCGCUGUGAAGAUGCAGUGUACCCGCGGCAAGACGGAAAGACCCCGUGAACCUUUACUAUAGCUUGACACUGAACAUUGAGCCUUGAUGUGUAGGAUAGGUGGGAGGCUUUGAAGUGUGGACGCCAGUCUGCAUGGAGCCGACCUUGAAAUACCACCCUUUAAUGUUUGAUGUUCUAACGUGGACCCGUUACCCGGGUUGCGGACAGUGUCUGGUGGGUAGUUUGACUGGGGCGGUCUCCUCCUAAAGAGUAACGGAGGAGCACGAAGGUUGGCUAAUCCUGGUCGGACAUCAGGAGGUUAGUGCAAUGGCAUAAGCCAGCUUGACUGCGAGCGUGACGGCGCGAGCAGGUGCGAAAGCAGGUCAUAGUGAUCCGGUGGUUCUGAAUGGAAGGGCCAUCGCUCAACGGAUAAAAGGUACUCCGGGGAUAACAGGCUGAUACCGCCCAAGAGUUCAUAUCGACGGCGGUGUUUGGCACCUCGAUGUCGGCUCAUCACAUCCUGGGGCUGAAGUAGGUCCCAAGGGUAUGGCUGUUCGCCAUUUAAAGUGGUACGCGAGCUGGGUUUAGAACGUCGUGAGACAGUUCGGUCCCUAUCUGCCGUGGGCGCUGGAGAACUGAGGGGGGCUGCUCCUAGUACGAGAGGACCGGAGUGGACGCAUCACUGGUGUUCGGGUUGUCAUGCCAAUGGCACUGCCCGGUAGCUAAAUGCGGAAGAGAUAAGUGCUGAAAGCAUCUAAGCACGAAACUUGCCCCGAGAUGAGUUCUCCCUGAGACUUAGAGUCUCCUGAAGGAACGUUGAAGACGACGACGUUGAUAGGCCGGGUGUGUAAGCG
RNAcentral lists this ribosomal RNA (2695 nucleotides) under Salmonella enterica subsp. enterica serovar Enteritidis. RNAcentral describes it as "partial 23S ribosomal RNA". It matches the Rfam family "Bacterial large subunit ribosomal RNA". Lineage: Bacteria; Pseudomonadati; Pseudomonadota; Gammaproteobacteria; Enterobacterales; Enterobacteriaceae. The record is from RNAcentral.